Molecule: ribosomal RNA, 372 nt
Filed under: uncultured organism
Description: partial 16S ribosomal RNA
Rfam family: Bacterial small subunit ribosomal RNA
Source: RNAcentral
GUAGGUGGCAAGCGUUGUCCGGAAUUAUUGGGCGUAAAGCGCGCGCAGGCGGUUCUUUAAGUCUGAUGUGAAAGCCCACGGGCUCAACCGUGGAGGGUCAUUGGAAACUGGAGAACUUGAGUACAGAAGAGGAAAGCGGAAUUCCACGUGUAGCGGUGAAAUGCGUAGAGAUGUGGAGGAACACCAGUGGCGAAGGCGGCUUUCUGGUCUGUAACUGACGCUGAGGCGCGAAAGCGUGGGGAGCAAACAGGAUUAGAUACCCUGGUAGUCCACGCCGUAAACGAUGAGUGCUAAGUGUUAGGGGGUUUCCACCCCUUAGUGCUGCAGCUAACGCAUUAAGCACUCCGCCUGGGGAGUACGGCCGCAAGGCUG